UACGUAGGGGGCAAGCGUUGUCCGGAUUUAUUGGGCGUAAAGAGCGUGUAGGCGGUCAGGUAGGUCCGUUGUGAAAACUCUAGGCUCAACCUCGAGACGCCGAUGGAAACCAUCUGACUAGAGUCCGGAAGAGGAGAGUGGAAUUCCUGGUGUAGCGGUGAAAUGCGCAGAUAUCAGGAAGAACACCCGUGGCUAAGGCGGCUCUCUAGUACGGUACUGACGCUGAGACGCGAAAGCGUGGGGAGCGAACAGG
Molecule: ribosomal RNA, 253 nt
Filed under: uncultured bacterium
Lineage: Bacteria
Description: partial 16S ribosomal RNA
Rfam family: Bacterial small subunit ribosomal RNA
Source: RNAcentral